Sinocyclocheilus rhinocerous is the source of this 425-nucleotide long non-coding RNA. RefSeq lists it as uncharacterized. The transcript has 5 exons. NCBI's taxonomy places the organism in Eukaryota, Metazoa, Chordata, Actinopteri, Cypriniformes, Cyprinidae. The record is from RefSeq and is a predicted model, not a curated record.
UGCGUGGAGCAGAUCUCAUGUUGAACAUCACUGUGAAGUACAAUGGUGAAAAAUCAACUACCAACAUGGUUAUCGUGAACAUGAAACUCUUGUCGGGUUUCACAGCAGAUAUGUCACUGAUUCAUUUGCUCAACUUGGAUCUCCACCAGAUUAAUUUGCUCCAUUAGUGCAGCGGGUUGAUACUGGAGAUGACCAUGUGCUUGUGUAUCUGAAAGAGGUUCCCAAGGGCGUCCCCAUGACCUACAGGCUACAACUGAAACAGGUUCUUGCAGUGCAGAAUCUCAAGCCAGCGGUCGUUGAGGUUUAUGACUACUAUCAGCCAAGUGAUGUGUUUGAGACCACAUACAUGCCUCCCUGUCCAUGAUUGUGCUUCAUUUCUGGCUAUAGGAUGCAUGAAUGAAAUAAAAAAAUAAAUAAAAAAAGUU